UGGGCUCUGUUAAUUGGGCUGUACAGCUGCCCCUCUUUGCUCGUUGUCGUGUAACGAUAACAGAGCAAAGACUAAGAAAGACCAAUUUUUGCCCAGUCUUGCCGAGGAAAUAAGAUUCGCCUUUCUUCUUCAAGUAGCUUCAUUUCAGUCCACUUUGUCUUGUUGCGUCGAUCCUCUCCACUGCAACUUCAAGAAGAGAUAUGACUUGUGGCUUCAAUCCAUUCUGUUGUAACUUCAGGGGGUAAG
Molecule: long non-coding RNA, 246 nt
Filed under: Gossypium barbadense (sea-island cotton)
Lineage: Eukaryota; Viridiplantae; Streptophyta; Magnoliopsida; Malvales; Malvaceae
Description: long non-coding RNA (GBAR_LNC016879)
Source: RNAcentral